RNAcentral lists this ribosomal RNA (450 nucleotides) under uncultured bacterium. RNAcentral describes it as "partial 16S ribosomal RNA". It matches the Rfam family "Bacterial small subunit ribosomal RNA", at positions 330 to 793 of the family's 1533-position model. The record is from RNAcentral.
ACCAGACUCCUACGGGAGGCAGCAGUGGGGAAUAUUGGGCAAUGGGCGCAAGCCUGACCCAGCAACGCCGCGUGAAGGAAGAAGGCCCUCGGGUUGUAAACUUCUUUUGUCAGGGACGAAGAAAGUGACGGUACCUGACGAAUAAGCCACGGCUAACUACGUGCCAGCAGCCGCGGUAAUACGUAGGUGGCAAGCGUUAUCCGGAUUUACUGGGUGUAAAGGGCGUGUAGGCGGGACUGCAAGUCAGAUGUGAAAUUCCAGGGCUCAACCCUGGAACUGCAUUUGAAACUGUAGUUCUUGAGUGAUGGAGAGGCAGGCGGAAUUCCGUGUGUAGCGGUGAAAUGCGUAGAUAUUAGGAGGAACACCGGUGGCAAAGGCGGCCUGCUGGACUGUGACUGACGUUGAGGCCCGAAGGCGUGGGGAGCAAACAGGAUUAGAUACCCCAGUAAG